Non-coding RNA from Pelobates cultripes (western spadefoot toad), 284 nucleotides. The record is from the annotation of a GenBank genome assembly. Lineage: Eukaryota; Metazoa; Chordata; Amphibia; Anura; Pelobatidae.
GUUCGCCCCAUUCCCUUUGGCCAACAGAUAUGUCUGUACCUCAGAUAGUGUUCAGGUCACCAUCUCCACUGAUGGAUUCCCCAAAAGUACCCCAAAAGUACCCCCAUCAUAACUAGGAACCCCUCAAAAGUUACAUCACCGGAUAACUCUGAUCUGAAUCUGGCCAAGUAUCAGUGUUUGGUAGAAUUGGAUUGCCACCAGGGUAAAGAUUGCCUGACACGAGGGGAUAGCCCAAAACAGAUAUAAACAAAAGAAACAAUGAGCCAAUAUAUAGCAAUUAGAUA